GGCUUAACACAUGCAAGUCGAGGGGCAUCAGGAAGAAAGCUUGCUUUCUUUGCUGGCGACCGGCGCACGGGUGAGUAACACGUAUCCAACCUGCCCUUUACUCGGGGAUAGCCUUUCGAAAGAAAGAUUAAUACCCGAUAGCAUAAUGAUUCCGCAUGGUUUCAUUAUUAAAGGAUUCCGGUAAAGGAUGGGGAUGCGUUCCAUUAGGUUGUUGGUGAGGUAACGGCCCACCAAGCCUUCGAUGGAUAGGGGUUCUGAGAGGAAGGUCCCCCACAUUGGAACUGAGACACGGUCCAAACUCCUACGGGAGGCAGCAGUGAGGAAUAUUGGUCAAUGGGCGCUAGCCUGAACCAGCCAAGUAGCGUGAAGGAUGAAGGCUCUAUGGGUCGUAAACUUCUUUUAUAUAAGAAUAAAGUGCAGUAUGUAUACUGUUUUGUAUGUAUUAUAUGAAUAAGGAUCGGCUAACUCCGUGCCAGCAGCCGCGGUAAUACGGAGGAUCCGAGCGUUAUCCGGAUUUAUUGGGUUUAAAGGGAGCGUAGGUGGACUGGUAAGUCAGUUGUGAAAGUUUGCGGCUCAACCGUAAAAUUGCAGUUGAUACUGUCAGUCUUGAGUACAGUAGAGGUGGGCGGAAUUCGUGGUGUAGCGGUGAAAUGCUUAGAUAUCACGAAGAACUCCGAUUGCGAAGGCAGCUCACUGGACUGCAACUGACACUGAUGCUCGAAAGUGUGGGUAUCAAACAGGAUUAGAUACCCUGGUAGUCCACACAGUAAACGAUGAAUACUCGCUGUUUGCGAUAUACAGUAAGCGGCCAAGCGAAAGCAUUAAGUAUUCCACCUGGGGAGUACGCCGGCAACGGUGAAACUCAAAGGAAUUGACGGGGGCCCGCACAAGCGGAGGAACAUGUGGUUUAAUUCGAUGAUACGCGAGGAACCUUACCCGGGCUUAAAUUGCAGUGGAAUGAUGUGGAAACAUGUCAGUGAGCAAUCACCGCUGUGAAGGUGCUGCAUGGUUGUCGUCAGCUCGUGCCGUGAGGUGUCGGCUUAAGUGCCAUAACGAGCGCAACCCCUAUCUUUAGUUACUAACAGGUUAUGCUGAGGACUCUAGAGAGACUGCCGUCGUAAGAUGUGAGGAAGGUGGGGAUGACGUCAAAUCAGCACGGCCCUUACGUCCGGGGCUACACACGUGUUACAAUGGGGGGUACAGAAGGCAGCUAGCGGGUGACCGUAUGCUAAUCCCAAAAUCCUCUCUCAGUUCGGAUCGAAGUCUGCAACCCGACUUCGUGAAGCUGGAUUCGCUAGUAAUCGCGCAUCAGCCACGGCGCGGUGAAUACGUUCCCGGGCCUUGUACACACCGCCCGUCAAGCCAUGGGAGCCGGGGGUACCUGAAGUACGUAACCGCAAGGAUCGUCCUAGGGUAAAACUGGUGACUGGGGCUAAGUCAUAACA
This 1445-nucleotide ribosomal RNA is filed under the name uncultured organism. RNAcentral describes it as "SSU rRNA". It matches the Rfam family "Bacterial small subunit ribosomal RNA". The record is from RNAcentral.